This 213-nucleotide ribosomal RNA is filed under the name Clostridioides difficile. RNAcentral describes it as "partial 23S ribosomal RNA". It matches the Rfam family "Bacterial large subunit ribosomal RNA", at positions 555 to 767 of the family's 2925-position model. Lineage: Bacteria; Bacillati; Bacillota; Clostridia; Peptostreptococcales; Peptostreptococcaceae. The record is from RNAcentral.
ACCCUGCACUUACAAGCUGUGGAAGCACAUUUCUUGUGUGACCGCGUACUUUUUGUAGAACGGGCCAACGAGUUACGUUAAGUAGCAAGGUUAAGCACUUAAGGUGCGGAGCCGUAGCGAAAGCGAGUUUUAACUGAGCGUUCAGUUACUUGACGUAGACCCGAAACCGGGCGACCUACCCAUGAGCAGGAUGAAGCGAAAGUAAAAUUUCGU